RNAcentral lists this non-coding RNA (88 nucleotides) under Pseudomonas tolaasii NCPPB 2192. Lineage: Bacteria; Pseudomonadati; Pseudomonadota; Gammaproteobacteria; Pseudomonadales; Pseudomonadaceae. The record is from RNAcentral.
UGUGGGAGCUGGCUUGCCUGCGAUGCAGGCACCUCGGUCUAUCCAGUAAGACUGCGGUGAUGCUAUCGCAGGCAAGCCAGCUCCCACA